This 496-nucleotide ribosomal RNA is filed under the name uncultured bacterium. Its description in RNAcentral is "partial 16S ribosomal RNA". It matches the Rfam family "Bacterial small subunit ribosomal RNA", at positions 28 to 506 of the family's 1533-position model. The record is from RNAcentral.
GAUGAACGCUGGCGGCGUGCCUAAUACAUGCAAGUCGAGCGAACAGACGAGGAGCUUGCUCCUCUGACGUUAGCGGCGGACGGGUGAGUAACACGUGGAUAACCUACCUAUAAGACUGGGAUAACUUCGGGAAACCGGAGCUAAUACCGGAUAAUAUAUUGAACCGCAUGGUUCAAUAGUGAAAGACGGUUUUGCUGUCACUUAUAGAUGGAUCCGCGCCGCAUUAGCUAGUUGGUAAGGUAACGGCUUACCAAGGCAACGAUGCGUAGCCGACCUGAGAGGGUGAUCGGCCACACUGGAACUGAGACACGGUCCAGACUCCUACGGGAGGCAGCAGUAGGGAAUCUUCCGCAAUGGGCGAAAGCCUGACGGGGCAACGCCGCGGGAGUGAUGAAGGCCUUCGGAUCGUAAAACUCUGUUAUUAGGGAAGAACAAAUGUGUAAGUAACUAUGCACGUCUUGACGGUACCUAAUCAGAAAGCCACGGCUAACUACGU